GAGUCUGAAUAGGGCGUUUAGUAUUUGGUCGUAGACCCGAAACCAGGUGAUCUACCCUUGGUCAGGUUGAAGUUCAGGUAACACUGAAUGGAGGACCGAACCGACUUACGUUGAAAAGUGAGCGGAUGAACUGAGGGUAGCGGAGAAAUUCCAAUCGAACCUGGAGAUAGCUGGUUCUCUCCGAAAUAGCUUUAGGGCUAGCCUCAAGUGAUGAUUAUUGGAGGUAGAGCACUGUUUGGACGAGGGGCCCCUCUCGGGUUACCGAAUUCAGACAAACUCCGAAUGCCAAUUAAUUUAACUUGGGAGUCAGAACAUGGGUGAUAAGGUCCGUGUUCGAAAGGGAAACAGCCCAGACCACCAGCUAAGGUCCCAAAAUAUAUGUUAAGUGGAAAAGGAUGUGGCGUUGCCCAGACAACUAGGAUGUUGGCUUAGAAGCAGCCAUCAUUUAAAGAGUGCGUAAUAGCUCACUAGUCGAGUGACACUGCGCCGAAAAUGUACCGGGGCUAAACAUAUUACCGAAGCUGUGGAUUGUCCUUUGGACAAUGGUAGGAGAGCGUUCUAAGGGCGUUGAAGCAUGAUCGUAAGGACAUGUGGAGCGCUUAGAAGUGAGAAUGCCGGUGUGAGUAGCGAAAGACGGGUGAGAAUCCCGUCCACCGAUUGACUAAGGUUUCCAGAGGAAGGCUCGUCCGCUCUGGGUUAGUCGGGUCCUAA
RNAcentral lists this ribosomal RNA (711 nucleotides) under Staphylococcus aureus. RNAcentral describes it as "partial 23S ribosomal RNA". It matches the Rfam family "Bacterial large subunit ribosomal RNA", at positions 679 to 1394 of the family's 2925-position model. The record is from RNAcentral. Lineage: Bacteria; Bacillati; Bacillota; Bacilli; Caryophanales; Staphylococcaceae.